This is a non-coding RNA of Populus trichocarpa (black cottonwood), 95 nucleotides long. The record is from Rfam. Lineage: Eukaryota; Viridiplantae; Streptophyta; Magnoliopsida; Malpighiales; Salicaceae.
AGGGGAUCAAUGAUUUUACUUUGAAAAAACUGCGUUAUCUUCCUGAAUGGGAAAUAUUGGAGAUCCCAACUGUAUAUAACACUCUGGGAUCCUUU